GACGAACGCUGGCGGCGUGCUUAACACAUGCAAGUCGAACGGAAAGGCCCGGCUUUUGUUGUGUGCUCGAGUGACGAACGUGGGGGUAACAUGUGAGUAACCUGCCCGUUACUUUGGGAUAACUGGAAGAAACUUGGGCUAAUACCGGUUAUUACCGCCAGGUCCGUAGGGGGGGUUGGGAAGUUUCGGCGGUUGGGGAAGGACUCGGGGCUGAUCAGGCUGUUGGUGGGGUAGUGGCUGACGUAGGCGUUGACCGGUAGCCGGCCUGGGAGGGUGAACGGCGACACUGGGAAUGCGAUAACGCCCAGACGCCUACGGGAGUCAGGCGUGGGGAGUAUUGGACUAUGGGAGGAAGGCUGAGGCAGCAAUGCCGGGUGCGGGAUGAUGGCCUUCGGGUUGUAAACCGCUUGCGCCUGUGACGAAGCGUGAGUGACGGUAAUGGGUAAAGAAGCACCGGCUAACUACGUG
Molecule: ribosomal RNA, 468 nt
Filed under: uncultured bacterium
Lineage: Bacteria
Description: partial 16S ribosomal RNA
Rfam family: Bacterial small subunit ribosomal RNA
Source: RNAcentral